RNAcentral lists this ribosomal RNA (497 nucleotides) under uncultured bacterium. RNAcentral describes it as "partial 16S ribosomal RNA". It matches the Rfam family "Bacterial small subunit ribosomal RNA", at positions 28 to 507 of the family's 1533-position model. The record is from RNAcentral.
GAUGAACGCUGGCGGCGUGCCUAAUACAUGCAAGUAGAACGCUGAAGGAAGGAGCUUGCUCUUUCCGGAUGAGUUGCGAACGGGUGAGUAACGCGUAGGUAACCUGCCUGGUAGUGGGGGAUAACUAUUGGAAACGAUAGCUAAUACCGCAUAACAGUAGAUGUUGCAUGAUAUCUACUUAAAAGGUGCAAUUGCACCACUACCAGAUGGACCUGCGUUGUAUUAGCUAGUUGGUGAGGUAACGGCUCACCAAGGCGACGAUACAUAGCCGACCUGAGAGGGUGAUCGGCCACACUGGGACUGAGACACGGCCCAGACUCCUACGGGAGGCAGCAGUAGGGAAUCUUCGGCAAUGGACGGAAGUCUGACCGAGCAACGCCGUGUGAGUGAAGAAGGUUUUCGGAUCGUAAAGCUCUGUUGUAAGAGAAGAACGAGUGUGAGAGUGGAAAGUUCACACUGUGACGGUAUCUUACCAGAAAGGGACGGCUAACUACGUG